Podarcis lilfordi (Lilford's wall lizard) is the source of this 173-nucleotide non-coding RNA. NCBI's taxonomy places the organism in Eukaryota, Metazoa, Chordata, Lepidosauria, Squamata, Lacertidae. The record is from the annotation of a GenBank genome assembly.
GCCCCCCUCAGCUUAUACGUGAGUGAGGUGGGCGGUGGCGGAGGGACGAGCGGUGAGAAAGGAGCCCUUUCGGGCUGUCAGUGGCGGCGGCAGAGGAACGAGCAGCCUGAAAAGGCUCCUUUCUUGCCACUUGUCCCUCUGCUGCCGCCUCUGCCCCUGUCGGCGGAGGAGGA